RNAcentral lists this transfer RNA (73 nucleotides) under Candidatus Diapherotrites archaeon CG09_land_8_20_14_0_10_32_12. RNAcentral describes it as "tRNA-Val". It matches the Rfam family "tRNA". Rfam says of the family: Transfer RNA (tRNA) molecules are approximately 80 nucleotides in length. Their secondary structure includes four short double-helical elements and three loops (D, anti-codon, and T loops). RNAcentral also lists the same sequence under 1 other name. Lineage: Archaea; Nanobdellati; Candidatus Iainarchaeota. The record is from RNAcentral.
GGGCUCAUGGUCUAGCGGUUAUGACAUCGCCCUUACAAGGCGGGAGUCGCAGGUUCAAUUCCUGCUGGGCCCA